GGAUGUGAGGGCAAUCUGGCUGUGACAUCUGUCACCCCGUUGAUUGCCAGAGGUGAUUUUACUGAUCUGGAUGGCUAGGCAGGUGUCCCCUUCCUCCCUCAAUACUCCAUGUGCAUCCCUCCCAAAGCUGUGUGCUUGGUCAAAAAGGACCACCACCCCCCGAUAGAGGAGCACUGUAGAGUAGCUGCACCUCCCUGCUAGAACCUCCAAACAAGCUCUCAAGAAAAGAAAGGAACUAAUGUGCUAAAGGAACUUGAGGGACAAGAAUAGAGGAUACAAAGAGUGUGACUACUAU
This 295-nucleotide small nuclear RNA is filed under the name Octodon degus (degu). RNAcentral's name for it is "7SK RNA (ENSODEG00000023894.1)". It matches the Rfam family "7SK RNA". Rfam says of the family: 7SK was discovered as an abundant small nuclear RNA in the mid-70s but a possible function has only recently been suggested. Two independent studies have found that 7SK RNA binds the CDK9/cyclin T complex (known as elongation factor P-TEFb). Lineage: Eukaryota; Metazoa; Chordata; Mammalia; Rodentia; Octodontidae. The record is from Rfam by way of RNAcentral.